AUCGCUUCUCGGCCUUUUGGCUAAGAUCAAGUGUAGUAUCUGUUUCUUAUCAGUUUAAUACCUGAUACGUCCUCCAUUCGAGGACUUUAUAUUAAACGGAUUUUAGAGCGAGGAGCUGGAAGAGGGGCUUGCUCCGUCCGCUCCACGCAUCGACCUGGUAUUGCAGUACCUCCAGGAACGGUGCACCUUUU
Small nuclear RNA from Ictalurus punctatus (channel catfish), 191 nucleotides. Its record names the gene U2. It matches the Rfam family "U2 spliceosomal RNA". Rfam says of the family: U2 is a small nuclear RNA (snRNA) component of the spliceosome (involved in pre-mRNA splicing). Complementary binding between U2 snRNA (in an area lying towards the 5' end but 3' to hairpin I) and the branchpoint sequence (BPS) of the intron results the bulging out of an unpaired adenosine, on the BPS, which initiates a nucleophilic attack at the intronic 5' splice site, thus starting the first of two transesterification reactions that mediate splicing. Lineage: Eukaryota; Metazoa; Chordata; Actinopteri; Siluriformes; Ictaluridae. The record is from Ensembl.